AUAUAAUUUAUGAAGUGGGAAGUAGUAUUUUUGAAGUUUUACAGAAAAUUUGGUGUAGAUGAGAGCCGAAGAAUGGAUUUAAUAUGAAAUAGGACCAUGGAGAUUUUAGAGUGAAAUAAUUUAGCUCUUUACGGAUAAUCGCGUUAAAGAUUUUGAGUGGAUGUCUUUAUGGCAUCAACAAGAGUGGUACCACGGAUAAAUCGUCUCUUUU
This 211-nucleotide non-coding RNA is filed under the name Anaerosphaera aminiphila. RNAcentral's name for it is "T-box sequence". It matches the Rfam family "T-box leader". From Rfam's summary of the family: Uncharged tRNA acts as the effector for transcription antitermination of genes in the T-box leader family. Lineage: Bacteria; Bacillati; Bacillota; Tissierellia; Tissierellales; Peptoniphilaceae. The record is from RNAcentral.